CGUUAACGUUGUAUUUAUAACCGCUUCGUACGGACAAAACAGUAUCUGAAAGAGAACCUAGACGGCAGAAAUGUAAAUGUAAUGUGAGCAAUAAUCUCUAACUGUGCAUACAAGUAAAACUUUAGUGUUUCAACAACUUUAUUCAUUCAUUCAUGGUUUAUAUUCCAUAGGGACAGAUCUUGGCGCUGCGUGGCUCCGGGGUAUGUUUGAGUUAUUUGGUGGUGAGCAGUACGACAAGUUUCACCUUGCUUGUCACUGCAGGGCAAACGGUCACAUCUGGGUUUCCAGAAGACAUGCCAUUCCUUUUGACAUUAGAACAAGACGUCCCAGGGAGAUGAAAUGACCAAACAACCCGCUAACUCCCCCAACAUCAAAUUUUUUUUUCAAUGCGUUAUUGGCUGUCAGAUGGCGAGAAAGAAGCCAAAAUGGAGACAGAAGUUACCAGGGAGAAUAAUGAACAAACGACGGAGGACGACUGCCUGUGGCCGUACCUGGAGGAAUUUUUCAUUUACAAAGGAAGAAAAUGAGACAGCGUCCAGAUGAAGUGAAACUUUGUUUGACCAACACUGUGAUAUCUGCUUACAAGACUUCAACGUUUAAUCUAAAAAACACAUUGCAGUAAGAGCUUUUACAACUAUACUUGUAUGAUAUUGCUUUUAUUUUCUCUCUUGCAUGUGUUUUGAAGUUUGCGUGGCGUGUGCUCCGG
Gasterosteus aculeatus aculeatus (three-spined stickleback) is the source of this 706-nucleotide long non-coding RNA. The record is from Ensembl. Lineage: Eukaryota; Metazoa; Chordata; Actinopteri; Perciformes; Gasterosteidae.